RNAcentral lists this long non-coding RNA (345 nucleotides) under Nicotiana benthamiana. RNAcentral describes it as "long non-coding RNA (NBEN_LNC023130)". The record is from RNAcentral. Lineage: Eukaryota; Viridiplantae; Streptophyta; Magnoliopsida; Solanales; Solanaceae.
AGAAAUACCCUACUUUACAACACUUGGGAAUAGAGAUCUUGAAAAGUCUUGCAUUGGAAGAUGAUGCAACAGAGAGAAUUGGAGGAACCGGUGGAAUCCUUAAGGAGUUGUGCAACAUCUUUUUCAAGGACUCGACACCUAACAAUCUUGGAGGAACUGGAGGAAUCCUUAAGGAGUUGUGCAACAUCUUUUUCAAGGACUCGACACCUAACAAUCGCGGCCAAGUAAGAACAGCAGCAGGAGAAGCACUAGCUAUGUUGGCACUUGAAAGCAAGAACAACUGCCAUAGGAUAUUGAAACUCAAGGUCACUGGAAAGCUUGUCGAAGCAUUGGAAGUUCCAUUGC